Molecule: ribosomal RNA, 542 nt
Filed under: uncultured bacterium
Lineage: Bacteria
Description: bacterial SSU rRNA
Rfam family: Bacterial small subunit ribosomal RNA
Source: RNAcentral
ACCGAAUAGAUACCCGGGUAGUCCUAGCCCUAAACGAUGAUCGCUUGGUGUGGCGGGUAUCCAAUCCCGCCGUGCCGUAGCUAAACGCGUUAAGCGAUCCGCCUGGGGAGUACGGUCGCAGGCUGAAACUCAAAGGAAUUGACGGGGGCCCGCACAAGCGGUGGAGCAUGUGGUUUAAAUUCGACGCAACGCGAAGAACCUUACCUGGGCUCGAAAUGUAGUGGACCGGGGUAGAAAUAUCCCUUCCCAGCAAUGGGCUGCUAUAUAGGUGCUGCAUGGCUGUCGUCAGCUCGUGUCGUGAGAUGUUGGGUUAAGUCCCGCAACGAGCGCAACCCUUAUCUCCAGUUGCCAUCAUUCAGUUGGGCACUCUGGCGAAACCGCCUCGGAUAACGGGGAGGAAGGCGGGGAUGACGUCAAGUCCUCAUGGCCUUUAUGUCCAGGGCUACACACGUGCUACAAUGGCCGAUACAAACCGUUGCAAACCCGCGAGGGGAGCUAAUCGGAAAAAGUCGGCCUCAGUUCGGAUCGCAGUCUGCAACCCG